Molecule: non-coding RNA, 253 nt
Organism: Paramuricea clavata
Lineage: Eukaryota; Metazoa; Cnidaria; Anthozoa; Malacalcyonacea; Plexauridae
Source: the annotation of a GenBank genome assembly
GUCAAAGCCAAACGGUAAUUUUCAAUAGGAAAAUAGCUUAUGGUUUUGCAUAAUGAAAAACAGGAAAUAAGUUUUGGGUAUUGCACUUUGCUAACUCAAAAGCAGAUCAAUUGAUCAAAGUCCUCCCAAGGAACAAUCAGCUUCCAUACAAUCCUUACUCCUUAGAAUCUCUCUCAACAAACAAAAUAUUAUAUUGCAUUUUCAUCAGUUUCUAGUAUCAACAUUAAAGCAAACCAAACACAAACAUCAAAAG